RNAcentral lists this ribosomal RNA (253 nucleotides) under uncultured bacterium. RNAcentral describes it as "partial 16S ribosomal RNA". It matches the Rfam family "Bacterial small subunit ribosomal RNA", at positions 524 to 776 of the family's 1533-position model. The record is from RNAcentral.
UACGUAGGUGGCGAGCGUUAUCCGGAAUUACUGGGUGUAAAGGGUGAGUAGGCGGGAGAGCAAGUCAGGUGUGAAAUGCAGGGGCUUAACCCCUGAACUGCACUUGAAACUGUUCUUCUUGAGAGUCGGAGGGGUAAUCGGAAUUCCCAGUGUAGCGGUGAAAUGCGCAGAGAUUGGGAGGAACACCAGUGGCGAAGGCGGAUUACUGGACGACAACUGACGCUGAUACACGAAAGCGUGGGGAGCAAACAGG